GGCGGCUACCUCCAAGUGCAGCUGGUGGAGCUAUUUGCAGCUCUCCACAUCCUGAGAGCUGGAUGCGGGGGCCUGCUCCAGAGAGCCUUCUUCAAGGCUAAGAACAAUGCCCAGCUCUUGGAUCAAGGAGUGAUGAACCCAGUACCAGUCAAUGCUUACUAAUGGAAAGCGUGAGCAGUGGGGCAGCUGGGACAGCAACCAAGGCCCAUGUGGGGCGGCAGCAUUGCAAGCGUUGGCUUAACCUGUGUGCUGCCCCACUAGCUCCGAGGACUCCCAUCCAAAGACGGAUGUUUCCGGGGCAGGCUUUUGG
Ochotona curzoniae (black-lipped pika) is the source of this 310-nucleotide long non-coding RNA. RefSeq lists it as uncharacterized. The record is from RefSeq and is a predicted model, not a curated record. The transcript is spliced from 3 exons. NCBI's taxonomy places the organism in Eukaryota, Metazoa, Chordata, Mammalia, Lagomorpha, Ochotonidae.